Molecule: long non-coding RNA, 7042 nt
Filed under: Sus scrofa (pig)
Lineage: Eukaryota; Metazoa; Chordata; Mammalia; Artiodactyla; Suidae
Description: lncRNA (ENSSSCG00025059238.1)
Source: RNAcentral
GUUGUUGUUGUUGUUGUUGUUGCUAUUUCUUGGGCCGCUCCCGCGGCAUAUGGAGGUUCCCGGGCUAGGGGUUGAAUCGGGGCUGUAGCCACUGGCCUACGCCAGAGCCACAGCAACGCGGGAUCCGAGCCGCGUCUGCAACCUACACCAAUGCCAGAUCGUUAACCCACUGAGCAAGGGCAGGGACCGAACCCGCAACCUCAUGGUUCCUAGUCGGCUUCGUUAACCACUGCGCCACGACGGGAACUCCCUAUAGGAAUUAUUUUUAAUGAUGUCAUUUAAAGUGAAACCACUGUACUAAUUAUAUUAUCUGAUGACAAUAUGAUCCACCAGAUCUUGAAUGACUGUGGUAUCAUGACCAUGCCAUCAAAGCAGCUCAGACAUGGGGUCUAUUCCAGUGUGCUGGGGCUGCCACAACCAAGUACCACAAAAGGCAUGGCUGAGAGCCACAUAAAUAUAUCAUCUCAUAGUUCUGAGGUUAGAAGUCCAAGAACUACAUGGCAGCAGGGCCAUGCUUUCUCUGGAGACAUUAGAGAAGAUCUCUUCCAGACCUCUCUCCUAGUUUCUGGUAAGAUCAUUGGCUUAUGGCAGCAUAACUCCCAUCUUCACAUAGCAGGACUCAAACACAGUCUCACAAGCAAUGCAAACAUUUGGAUUAUUCUUCAUAUUGAUAGUUUGCAUAACCUGGUAAUUCACAGCUAUUUUAAAAGGUGAAACUACUAUUGUGCAAUACAUAAUAAAUAUCCCAAUGCAUUUAAAAGAAAGAGUAUAUCCAGGUUAGGAAGAAGUUAGAAGAAGUACACGAUGUUUUUUUAAAGUUAAUAUAUCUACAAUCCAGAUAUAUGUCUAGAUGUCUAUAAACACAUAUUUCCAAUAUAUGUUACAUAUGCACACCAAUAAUAUAUCACCUAAAUUUCCUAACAAUGACACCAUAAACUGUAAUACAUGACAAAGCAUAUGAAUGAUACAGCCUAAGCAUGGGGUGAUCCUAUAAUUCACUGUCUGAACCUGGACACUUUUUAGAGUGAAAGGCAUUACCAACAACUAGGCUGGGUAACACAAAGAAACCAAAGGGUCCUGGGUCAAACCCAGAAUGAGGAUAAACAAAAGAAAGAACUGGGCUGAAAUAAAAGACUGGAAAGUAUAGGAUCCCUCUACCCACAUUGGUCUAUGGUAGAGGAAGGGAAAGGCAAUGAUUAAUCUGCUCAUGUAUGAACACUGAAUAGCUAAAAGAAGGAAGAAAGUAUGUAAAAGGCACUAGAUUUGGCAUAGCAUGCAAGAUAUUUAUGUUGUUUAAAAUAAAUCAUAUGCAUAAGAAAAGUAUCAGCUAGUGGACACUGAAACAGAGAUACGAAUAGCAUAAAAAGGGAUCUUCCUCGCCUCUCCUUAGUUGAUGAGAAUAGGAUGGACCUGAAAUACUUCAAGAGCCCCAUUUUAAGUCCCAUCAAUUCAAGAGGCAAACUAUUUGUAUCACUUCUUUUUACAGAAAUAAGAAAAAGAAGCAGAGAAAUUACUUUUUGAUUGAACUACAGACAGAUACAAUCUUGGACCAGAGAUUCUGGGUUUUCAUUUUCCCCUCAUGUAACAGCAUUCCCUCCUAACUAAUGCAGACAGGGAUUCCUAGGAUGACUAUUUCUACACUGCACCACCUGUGCUGUCCUGAAAGAGAACAAACAGCAUAUAGCUGUUCUCCAUUUACAGAAAUGCCUGCUCUCCUUUUCACGCUCAUCAAGAUAUUUUUGGUGUGUGAUCAGUUCAGAUCAGCCCUCUAAAAUUUCAAUUCCUCUCCAUAUAAGAGAGAACACUAUAUAAUACACAUACAAAUAAAGUUCAGGAGUCCUGUGACUUGGUCCCAAGCAUGCUCUUAUUGUUUGGGGGUCUCCAUUAAUUGCUCUCUUCUGAAAAAGAUGAAGCAUUUUCAACUAAGAAAAAUCUUCACGAGUUUACGAUACAGCUUUCCUGGGUGAAACAAAAACCCCUAGCAAGGGUGUGUGUCCAAGCUAAUCACAGGGUGCCCACAGGCCACCCUGGCAACUGUCCAGCAAAUCUGGGAUCUACAAAGCAUUCUGUGCUGUGUGCACAAGGGCAGGCGAGACUGUCUCAUUUCCGCUCCAGACCCGGCAGGAAAGAGCAGACACCAGUAGGCUUCUGUUGAAGACACGUUUCACUACAAAAUUUUCCUUCAGGAAAUUCAGAGAUCUCCAGGAACAGGAAAAUCUUACCCCUGGUACACUGGACUAUAUGUUAAAUAAUUACACUUCCUGCUUCACCAAGCACUAAAUUUAACAGCUUAAUUUAGAAAAUAUUUUGAACUAGCUAAUUUACCUUUCUUAAUAGCAUCCCUAUUAUCAGGGAUUAAUGAAUAAAAUUCACUGAUGUGACAAAAUGUUAGCAAAACACGAAUGCCACGUAAGCAUUGUGGGAAUGAGCCAGAAAUAGACAUCACUGGCGAAAGGAACACAUAUUAUGGGCCAAUUUCUUAGGAACAUGUCACUUAGAUCAGUGGUUCUCAGCAAGGAGUACUUUGCACCCCAGCAGACAAACUAUAUAUACUAUUAUAUAGGAUUCCAGUUUUUCAUGUACAGAAUGGAGAAAACUGUACCUAUGAUAUUUAAGAUUGUUAUAACAAUUAAAGUAUAAUGCUAUACUUAAUGCAUGCCAGUCAUUCUGUGAACACUAAAGACUAAUAUGUUUAGGUACUCAAAACUACUUAAUAAAUGAAAGAGUAAAUGUGAGUUCCCACUGUGGCUCAGCAGAUUAUGAACCUGACUAGUAUCCAGGAGGAUGAAGCUUCCAUCCCUGGCCUUGCUGAGUGAGACAAGGCUCGGGCGUUGCAACAAGAUGUAGCAUAGGUCACAGAUGCGGCUCAAAUCUGGCAUUGCUGUGGUGUGUAGGCCGGCAGCUCUGAUUCAACCUCUAGCCUGGAAACUCCCAUAUGCCACACGUGCUACCCUAAAAAGAAAAAGAAAAAAAAAAAAACUGUAUUGCAUAUAAUAUCAAUUGAGGAUUCCAAAAACCUCUUAAUUUCCAGUUUUUCACCCCAUAGCCAACCCACGACUUUGCUUUCUUUACAACUUUCAAAUAAGGUCACAAUCUGAGGGAAGGGGCUUAGAACUUGAAAAUGUGAAUUAGGGGGGAAGACAAGUCAACCCAUUACAGUGUACCAAGCAGGAACUAAAAAUGCAGUCUCACAAGUAAUGGAUAGAUUUGGAUAGUUCUUCAUAUUUAUAGUUUCUAUAACUUGGUAAUUCACAGCUGCUCAAAAAGGUGAAAUUAGUAUCAUUUAAGAUACAAUAAAUAUUCCAUCUCUCAAUGCACUUAAAGCAAAGAGUAUGUCAGGUUAUGAAGAAGCUAGAACAAGCAUUUCUCAAUCAUUGUGGGGUUUUUUUGGUUUUGUUUUGUUCUUUUUUUUUUUUUUUUUUUUGUCUUUUUAUGGCCACACUCCAGCACAUGGAGUUUCCCAGGCUAGGGGUAGCAUGGGAACUAUAGCUGCCAGCCUACGUCACAGCAACAGAAACACGGGAUCCGAGCCGCACCUGCAGUCUACACCACAGCUCAUGGCAAUGCAGGAUCCUUAACCCAAUGAGCGAGGCCAGGGAUCUAACCCACAUCCUCAUGGAUACCAGCCAGGUUCGUUAGCGUUGAGUCACAAAAGGAACUCCUCAUGUGUUUUUUAAAGUUAAUAUAUCUAAAAUCUAGAUGUGUAUAUAUAGAUGUUUAUAAACACUCAAAUAUUUCCACUACCUGUUACAUAUACACAUGAAUAAUGUAUCAUCUAAAUUUCCUAACAAUGACACCAAAAAUUGGAAUACAUGGUAAGGCACUGCUUUUAACCUACCACAUCAUGAAGGCCAGACACAGAACCACUUUAAGUGAAAGAUAAAAGCCUGAGGAAUGUUUUCAGAAAUGUAUCUAAAUGAAUACAGAGAGGAAAUCCACUUCUCUCUCUAAAAGAAAAAUAAAUAAAUAAAAAAUGCUAGAGUAUCUUCUCCGUGAUAUGCUUUAAGGAAUAAUGGCUUUAAGUAUUUUGAGGUUCUUGUUUCCUUAUGUUAAACAACAACAAUUCUGCAGAGUACUUGCCUUUGAUAAAUUUGUAUUAUAUUUUAUGUGGAGCACAUUUUCAGCCUUCAAUUCAGAAUGCCAUAAAACAGAAAAAAUGAAAACAGAAAGAAAAAAAAUCAGGCCACAAUUUCCUCUAAUAUUAGCUGUAUCACUUAGUUCUUGAAGUAUAUGAAUUCUUUAAACUUUGUACUUCCUCAAAUGCAUGUCCAAAACAGCUCUGUUUUUUAUCCUAACACUCUUCCUCUCUUAAUCUACCACACUGAUUGGUACUCCACUAGCCAUAAUUUUAUAAAACAACCCUCUUGCUUUAUUAUUAUAAAAUACUGCAUAGAUCCACAGUAGUUCUAUGCUGGCUAUACUCAGCUUCUUAUCACCCCUUUAUUAUGUGCCACUGGUAACUAUCUAAAAUGAUUACUUUUUCAGAAUAGUAUCAGGAGUUCUAAGGGACAGUAUCUGAAGUUAGAAAACCCAAGAAAUCGUUCUUUCACAGCUUUUUCCUGGACUCUAUGGUAAGAUAUUGGUGAGCAAACUUUCAGAAGCAGAAAAUCCAGAUGUUCUUAUUCUAGGUAAGUGUUUGGUAGCUGCAAUCACAAAGCUGGAAGAGAACUACAGAAAAAUCCUCUCCAAAAACAUGGUUUGUGUUUAUAUGGUUUACACAUUCAGAAUUUAUCUGUGAUAAUAAAAUUCCUUUAAAAUGACACCUCUAGAAAGAUUCUACUUAUCCAGUGGUUGGGGGGCAUCUCAAAUUAUGGUUGGAGCGUAAAACAAGGAAGAGCUUGUGUACACCUGUUCCAUCUGGAAAGAAGUAAAUAUAGUGGUGGAGGGAUAGGGAAAGGGAGGCAGAUGGACACAAAGUCACAUUUCAACACAGCUGUGACUGCCUCCUACAUCACUAAAUAUGGCACCCACGUCAGUUCUAGAAUGCUCAACCAGAGGCAGGGUGGGCUCAGAUUUGAGUGGACCAUGUAGGCAUAUGUUUGCCUUAAUCCACAAUCUAAUUAAAACCUGAGGAUGGUCAGGGAAGAGAAAGAACAACCCAGAGAAAGAACAACCCAGAGACUAUCAUUUCAGGACUAUCUAAGGUCAAAAGAAUCAUCUCACAGAUAAUUUGGACACAACACCCUGCUCUCAUAAAAAUUCUAUGAUGCAGCAAAGGUUUUGGUAAACUUCUUCAGUCUUUACUCAUAUUUCCCCUUCCUGUUGUUUCAUGUAACUCUAAGAAAUGGGCCUAACUAACCCCUAACCAAAGCUGCUCACAAAGAAGAUAAUACUUUAUUUUCAGAUGUGACAUUUAUAAGGCAAUGACAUCUGGUUCUAAGUUCUCACCUGUACUUUUUGCAAAUAAAUUAAAAUAUUCAUGCAUGAGGGUCAUCUUGCCAAGAUAUUUUAAAUGAUAGGCACAUAAAAUGUACUAAUAAUUAAUAUUUUAUUGCAAUAAUUAACGAUAAUGGCUAUCAAGGUAGGUAAUUACCAUUGGUAAAAUUUCAGCUGAUUUCUCAGAAUCAUGGUCUUUGUAAUGUGCUAAAUUGAACAUUCUCUUUCUUGAAGAAAUUCUUCUUCAAACUAUAUAGAAACAACUAUAAUUUUUACUAUGUAAGAUCCAUGAAAUUAUAAGAGAAUUUGUCAACCAGGUGUUUUUUGGGGUUUGUUUGCUUGUUUGUUUUUUUAGUUCAUUGUGAAAAUCACUUAAAAGGAAUAAGUGCCCUGGGAAGUUUAACAAGAGUUUGUCCAGCAUUGUUAAUACUGAUAUUGUUCUUGACCUGACAUCCUAACUACUAGCUGGAAGGUGCAGCAUCUUUAUAGAAAGAUCAAAUUGAAUUUGAUUAGUUUUAAGUAACCCACUAAAGAACAAGCAAGAGCCCUUUAAGAGACUUGAAACAUAUAAUUCUGAUUUUUUAGGAAAUUAGUUUAUCUCAACAGUCUGGAAAAACACUACAAAAAUUCUUGAGACAUUUACUUAGGAAUAAGUGUACAGAGACAAAUAUUACUCAGAAGGACCACAGAGAAAAGGCAUUCAAAUAAGUAGAUAAUUUUGUUCUACCAAUCUAUUAAUAUAACAUAAUAUAUCUCAGUUUCAUUUAGUAAAACUCUUGCAUGUAAUUUAAUAACAUCUUUGGCAACAGACUUUCAGAAAACUCUCUAGUUGAACCAAUAGAAAACAAGAAUAUUCUUCAUCCAAAAAAAUCAACUUUUUAAUAUACUUCAGUUUCAAAAUGCACAGGUGACCAGGGAGAAAAUGGACUCUACAAAAUGAAAAAGUUCUGCAAUUCUCACUACUUACUAAGUGAAUAUUUGAUCCAAAGAUAAAGGGCACAUUGCAGUCUUUGAAAAAAAAAACUGAGUUGCCUUUUCCAACAAUCAUAUUGUUUGAUUCUGGAUGUAUUUCAAUACAGUGAGAAUGUUUAUACUUUUAGACUCUGGCAGACACUCUAAGAUCUGAGAUAUCUGUGGAGAUUUUUAUAGAGCCUUAGCCCAACAGACCAAGAACCCCUUAAACAGAUUAUUUAUUUUUUCUUUUAGGGCAGCACCCACAGCAUAUAGACAUUCCCAGACUAGGGGUCAAAUCAGAGCUGCAGCUAGCAGCCUACGCCACAGCCACAGCCACAUGGGUUCCAAGGCUCAUCUGCAACCUACACCACAGCUCAUGGCAACACCAGAUCCUUAACCUACUGAGCAGGGCCAGGGAUAGAACCCACGUCUUCACUGAUACUAGUUUGGUUCGUUACCACUGAGCCGCAACAGGAAUUCUCCGGAUAAUUUUUUUAAAAAAACAAAUUGGAAAAAAAAAAAUCAACCUGCCUCAGAAAUGUGUUCUAAGAUGUUUUCAUUGAUUCUGGGACAUAAGAUCUUCGUAGAGUAACAAUUUUAUAUCCAUCUGUUUCUUGAAUGUAUCCAAGCAAUCUUGUAAUCCAUCAAAAGGAAAUAAAAGCUACCUUGACAUGUCUUGAUUUAUUGAAGUGAUACUAAAAAGAGUCUGCAG